AAUGGAGGAGGUGGAAGGCAAUGAUGAAACAAGGGAUAGAGGUAGUGACAGUGGAGAAUCAAGGGGGAGAAGGGAUGGAAAUAGGAGAAAGGGAUGAGACUUUCAAGUGAUUUUGCGUGCUAUCAUAUAGACUGUUCUGUGCAUGGCAAUGGAUCCAUGAUCCUUUCCGGUGAUCUUGCUCAUGAUUGUCUCACUCGAGCAAAGUUUUUGCCCUUGCUAGUCCAGUAGAGUGAGGAUCUCAUUCAGCACAAUUAACUCACUUGGCUAGUUGUUCGAGUACCAGCCUUGUUAGGCUAAGUCGACUCGGUUCCACUAAGUCAGGUUGGCUAGGCCUCACAUAUCUAUAU
RNAcentral lists this long non-coding RNA (347 nucleotides) under Phoenix dactylifera (date palm). Its description in RNAcentral is "long non-coding RNA (PDAC_LNC000328)". Lineage: Eukaryota; Viridiplantae; Streptophyta; Magnoliopsida; Arecales; Arecaceae. The record is from RNAcentral.